GGCUAGCCUGGUGAACAUCCUGCUAACAGCAAACAAGCGACAGCUGGCUUUAGUGGCAGUUUAUUCUUUUAUUUAUUUACUUUUAAAGUGCUGGAGUUGUUAAAGCUUAACGCAUUAAACAAGAGCGAGUUGGGUCCCAGGCUCGGCUGUGUCCCAAAUCCGAAGACAGGACUCCCUAGGAUGGCGGUGCUUCACUUUCUCGCUCGCACACUGGAACUUUUCAAGUGAGAUCCUCUGGACUGUAGUUAUGGAUCCCGAGGACACGUUCCGAAUCGAUCUUCCGUCCGCGGUGACGAACCGAGACCUGCUGUGAGAAUCCGCUUCUUUUUCUUCCUCGCUCUACUUAGUGUUUUACUUUUAUUUUGCUCUGAUGCAGGAACAAUGGAAGAACAUCGGCGUGUGCCGCUAACGUUUAUUAAUCAGCCGUGAAGAUCGCCCGAUCUGCUCCGAUUCCCUCCGAAAGCGGUAUCUAAUCUAAGCCUUAACCUCGUCGUUCGGCUGAGAUCCUGAGCGAUCUCAACGAAGAGCAUCAGGAGAACCGACCAG
Molecule: long non-coding RNA, 546 nt
Organism: Ictalurus punctatus (channel catfish)
Lineage: Eukaryota; Metazoa; Chordata; Actinopteri; Siluriformes; Ictaluridae
Source: Ensembl